UUAGCGUCGGGACUCUUGACGUCACUUUUGACGCUCAGGGACGGGAUGUGCCGACUGACAUGCGGCACAAGAAAUGGGACAGUUAGUUAGAUCUAGGGAAAGAUCAUGGGUGGGGUUCCAAAAUGUAAGUUUCAGUGACACGUGAGACAAGAACGGGACACAACCCCCUGUCUCCUGGGUGAAAGUCCUGUUUUUGUUUGACCCAUC
Long non-coding RNA from Etheostoma cragini (Arkansas darter), 207 nucleotides. RefSeq lists it as uncharacterized. The record is from RefSeq and is a predicted model, not a curated record. Lineage: Eukaryota; Metazoa; Chordata; Actinopteri; Perciformes; Percidae. The transcript is spliced from 3 exons.